Molecule: ribosomal RNA, 461 nt
Filed under: uncultured bacterium
Lineage: Bacteria
Description: partial 16S ribosomal RNA
Rfam family: Bacterial small subunit ribosomal RNA
Source: RNAcentral
CCUACGGGAGGCAGCAGUGAGGAAUAUUGGUCAAUGGGAGAGAUCCUGAACCAGCCAAGCCGCGUGAGGGAAGACGGCCCUAUGGGCGUUAAACUUCUUUUGUGCGGGAGCAAUAAUGGUCACGUGUGGCCAGACGAGAGUACCGUACGAAUAAGCAUCGGCUAACUCCGUGCCAGCAGCCGCGGUAAUACGGGGGAUGCAAGCGUUAUCCGGAUUUAUUGGGUUUAAAGGGUGCGUAGGCUGUGAGGUAAGUCAGCGGUGAAAUGCCCCCGCUCAACGGGGUGAAGUGCCAUUGAUACUGCCUUGCUUGAAUGCGGAUGCCGUGGGAGGAAUGUGUGGUGUAGCGGUGAAAUGCAUAGAUAUCACGAAGAACUACGAUUGCGAAGGCAGCUCACUGGACUGCAACUGACACUGAGGCUCGAAAGUGUGGGUAUCAAACAGGAUUAGAUACCCUAGUAGUC